This 620-nucleotide ribosomal RNA is filed under the name uncultured bacterium. RNAcentral describes it as "bacterial SSU rRNA". It matches the Rfam family "Bacterial small subunit ribosomal RNA", at positions 202 to 842 of the family's 1533-position model. The record is from RNAcentral.
AAAAACUCCGGUGGUAUGAGAUGGGCCCGCGUCUGAUUAGCUAGUUGGCGGGGUAACGGCCCACCAAGGCAACGAUCAGUAGCCGACCUGAGAGGGCGACCGGCCACAUUGGGACUGAGACACGGCCCAAACUCCUACGGGAGGCAGCAGUGGGGAAUAUUGCACAAUGGGGGAAACCCUGAUGCAGCGACGCCGCGUGAGCGAUGAAGUAUUUCGGUAUGUAAAGCUCUAUCAGCAGGGAAGAAGAUGACGGUACCUGACUAAGAAGCCCCGGCUAACUACGUGCCAGCAGCCGCGGUAAUACGUAGGGGGCAAGCGUUAUCCGGAUUUACUGGGUGUAAAGGGAGCGUAGACGGCGGUGCAAGCCAGAUGUGAAAGCCCGGGGCUCAACCCCGGGACUGCAUUUGGAACUGUAUGGCUGGAGUGUCGGAGAGGCAGGCGGAAUUCCUAGUGUAGCGGUGAAAUGCGUAGAUAUUAGGAGGAACACCAGUGGCGAAGGCGGCCUGCUGGACGGUGACUGACGUUGAGGCUCGAAAGCGUGGGGAGCAAACAGGAUUAGAUACCCUGGUAGUCCACGCCGUAAACGAUGACUACUAGGUGUCGGGCAGCAAAGCUGUUCG